GUACUCACUUCAGCAGUACCCAUUUGAAAGUUGGUACCCGACAGAGAAGAUUAGCAUGGCCCCCAGGUAAGGAUGAUAUGAACAGUCAUGAAGGGUUCCAUAUUUUC
Mastomys coucha (southern multimammate mouse) is the source of this 107-nucleotide small nuclear RNA. NCBI's taxonomy places the organism in Eukaryota, Metazoa, Chordata, Mammalia, Rodentia, Muridae. The record is from RefSeq and is a predicted model, not a curated record.